GGGAUGAGCUCAAAUUUUGAAUCUGGCGGUCUUUCGGCCGUCCGAGUUGUAAUCUAGAGAAGCGUCUUCCGCGCUGGACCGUGUACAAGUCUCCUGGAAGGGAGCGUCAUAGAGGGUGAGAAUCCCGUCUCUGACACGGACCACCAGUGCUAUGUGAUGCGCUCUCGACGAGUCGAGUUGUUUGGGAAUGCAGCUCAAAUCGGGUGGUAAAUUCCAUCUAAAGCUAAAUACAGGCGAGAGACCGAUAGCGAACAAGUACCGUGAGGGAAAGAUGAAAAGAACUUUGGAAAGAGAGUUAAACAGUACGUGAAAUUGCUGAAAGGGAAACGCUUGAUGUCAGUCGCGUCGGCCGGGGAUCAGCCUUGCUUCUCGCUGGGUGUAAUUCCUGGUCGACGGGUCAGCAUCGGUUUCGAUCGUCGUACAAGGGCGAAGGGAACGUGGCACUCUUCGGGGUGUGUUAUAGCCUUUCGUCGCAUGCGUCGGUCGGGACCGAGGACCUCAGCACGGCUUCCGCUUGUGCUUAGGAUGCUGGCAUAAUGGCCUUAAGCGACCCGUCUUGAAACACGGACCAAGGAGUCUAACAUGCCUGCGAGUGUUUGGGUGGCAAACCCGAGCGCGUAAUGAAAGUGAAAGUUGAGACCUCUGUCGUGGAGAGCAUCGACGCCCGGACCUGAGUCUUUGACGACGGAUCUGCGGUAGAGCAUGUAUGUUGGGACCCGAAAGAUGGUGAACUAUGCCUGAAUAGGGUGAAGCCAGAGGAAACUCUGGUGGAGGCUCGUAGCGAUUCUGACGUGCAAAUCGAUCGUCGAAUUUGGG
This 816-nucleotide ribosomal RNA is filed under the name Buchwaldoboletus lignicola. RNAcentral describes it as "partial large subunit ribosomal RNA". It matches the Rfam family "Eukaryotic large subunit ribosomal RNA", at positions 100 to 915 of the family's 3401-position model. Lineage: Eukaryota; Fungi; Basidiomycota; Agaricomycetes; Boletales; Boletaceae. The record is from RNAcentral.